This is a long non-coding RNA of Alosa sapidissima (American shad), 214 nucleotides long. RefSeq lists it as uncharacterized. The transcript has 3 exons. NCBI's taxonomy places the organism in Eukaryota, Metazoa, Chordata, Actinopteri, Clupeiformes, Clupeidae. The record is from RefSeq and is a predicted model, not a curated record.
GUGUAUGUAUGCUCUAUGUGCUGUGUGUGUGUGGUCUGUGUGUAAUGUGUAUAUGAGUGUGUGUGUGUGUGUGUGUGUGUGUGUGUGUUUGGGAUAUGAACACUGACUCUGUGGAUAAGAGACUGAAAUGAUACAAUCCAUAGUUAGUAAGAACAACAACAGGCAGAAGGACUCCUACAGGUGAUCCAGGUAGAGACUCCUACAGGUAACGCAG